AUACGGAAGGUCCAGGCGUUAUCCGGAUUUAUUGGGUUUAAAGGGAGCGUAGGCCGGAGAUUAAGCGUGUUGUGAAAUGUAGACGCUCAACGUCUGCACUGCAGCGCGAACUGGUUUCCUUGAGUACGCAUAAAGUGGGCGGAAUUCGUGGUGUAGCGGUGAAAUGCUUAGAUAUCACGAAGAACUCCGAUUGCGAAGGCAGCUCACUGGGGCGCAACUGACGCUGAAGCUCGAAAGCGCGGGUAUC
Molecule: ribosomal RNA, 247 nt
Filed under: uncultured bacterium
Lineage: Bacteria
Description: partial 16S ribosomal RNA
Rfam family: Bacterial small subunit ribosomal RNA
Source: RNAcentral